GACAGAGGGUGCAAACGUUGUUCGGAUUUACUGGGCGUAAAGCGCGUGUAGGCGGCCUUGCAAGUUGGAUGUGAAAGCCCACGGCUCAACCGUGGAAGCGCAUCCAAAACUGCAUCGCUCGAGUCUCGGAGAGGAAGGUGGAAUGCUUGGUGUAGAGGUGAAAUUCGUAGAUAUCAAGCGGAACACCUGCGGCGAAGGCGGCCUUCUGGACGAUGACUGACGCUGAGACGCGAAAGCGUGGGGAGCAAACAGG
Molecule: ribosomal RNA, 253 nt
Filed under: uncultured bacterium
Lineage: Bacteria
Description: partial 16S ribosomal RNA
Rfam family: Bacterial small subunit ribosomal RNA
Source: RNAcentral